GAAAUAAAUUUAAAUUGAACUUCUAAUUCAAUGUAUAAUGAUCAAUAUAAUCAUUUUAUUUCA
This 63-nucleotide transfer RNA is filed under the name Lepisiota frauenfeldi. Its description in RNAcentral is "tRNA-Ser". Lineage: Eukaryota; Metazoa; Arthropoda; Insecta; Hymenoptera; Formicidae. The record is from RNAcentral.